GUCACCUAUGAGAAGAGGUGAUAAAAAAUGAAGGCGUUGCGUAACCUCAGAACGUAGUAUCCCAAAGUCAUUGGAAUGGAAUCAACUCAAAGCAAGACGGAGAUAAUUCCAUUUAUUCCCAGUUUAAAUGAGAUUAUUCAAUUCACUUGACUAACUGGAUGUUAAACGAAAACAUCCUCUUGAUGUGAGCCUCAUGACCGUAAUUGCAUAACACAUGUCAAAUACUUUGUUUUAAAUCGGGGCGCUUGAAUAUUGUUUUAUUUUUGAAGGAAAAAAAAAAGUUGCUAUUUUCUUGUGUAGUCCAGUAAGCCAAUUAAAUUAUUCUCUUCAUAAUUGGUAUUCAUCUGCAAGUCACUCCCGUCUGCUUUGUUGCCAAAAGUAAAUUGGAGUUUCCUCUUUUAUACAUUCAAGGGCAAAAGUUGUGUGAUGCGAAUCGUAAUUUUUUGGACACUAUUUCUCACAUUGUGUUCAGCACUAGAAGAUUAUUUACAGAGGUUAUUUACAAUUUCAUAACAACCUUCGUCUACGGGGACUACAAAACACAAAGAGUCUACGAGUGGAAUGAACUUUCAAUGAGGAUGUAUCAAAGGCAGCAGCUGAUUGCCACACAGUCAGACUUCCUUUCUGAGUUAACAAAAAAUGAACUAUGUGUUCACUUCCAUUUUUUCGUCUGCUUUGCAGAAUUAGGGAAGAAAAUAAUACGUUUAAAAAUAUACUAUUCGCCCAAACCUGCUUUAGGACAGAUGUCAAUAUUCAAACCAAUGAUAGAAAUCCUUCUGUGUACCCCAAAUGAAAUAAAUGAGCAAACAUAUGCCAACCUAUGGGUGGGUAGAUGGGCAAAGAGCAACCAUGCAGGGACAAGGAACUGUCCAUAGUGCUGCAGUGGAGCAAUCAAGGCACACAGCACCGCGCUGGGAUUGGCUGCAGAUCCAUUCCACCUAUGGCCACUCCCCACUACGCCAUUUCACUCAAACGGUCUCGUGUCUUGCCUUCAAACCUCUCCAUCGCAACCAUUUCGGUGUUGCUCACUGCUUAUUUGUCGCUUUAAUCAAUCCCCUUUUAUUGGUCGUUGUGAAAUAGUAUCAUCAAGUAACUACAAUGAGGGAGCAACAGACUAGUGUGCAGCAGAGCUCGUUGCUUUUAUAAAGGAUGAAAGCAAAAACUGAAGCAGUCUACCGGUUUUGCGGAGAGGAAAACGUCUUCUCAAACAUCAAUUCAGCAAAAAUAAAAGUCAUCCUCCAUCA
This is a long non-coding RNA of Syngnathus typhle (broad-nosed pipefish), 1244 nucleotides long. RefSeq lists it as uncharacterized. The record is from RefSeq and is a predicted model, not a curated record. NCBI's taxonomy places the organism in Eukaryota, Metazoa, Chordata, Actinopteri, Syngnathiformes, Syngnathidae. The transcript is spliced from 2 exons.